This 403-nucleotide ribosomal RNA is filed under the name uncultured Diversispora. RNAcentral describes it as "SSU rRNA". It matches the Rfam family "Eukaryotic small subunit ribosomal RNA", at positions 569 to 974 of the family's 1831-position model. The record is from RNAcentral. Lineage: Eukaryota; Fungi; Glomeromycota; Glomeromycetes; Diversisporales; Diversisporaceae.
AGCAGCCGCGGUAAUUCCAGCUCCAAUAGCGUAUAUUAAAGUUGUUGCAGUUAAAAAGCUCGUAGUUGAACUUCGGGAUUUGCCCAUUGGUCAGGCUUAACUGUCUGCACUGGUGUGACGAGUUCCUACCUUCUGAGGAAUCUCCAUGUCAUUCAGUUGGUGUGGGGGGAAAUCAGGACUGUUACUUUGAAAAAAUUAGAGUGUUUAAAGCAGGCGUCCGUCUGAAUACAUUAGCAUGGAAUAGUAAAAUAGGACGGUUUGGUUCUAUUUUGUUGGUUUCUAGGAUCACCGUAAUGAUUAAUAGGGAUAGUUGGGGGCAUUAGUAUUCAAUUGUCAGAGGUGAAAUUCUUGGAUUUAUUGAAGACUAACUACUGCGAAAGCAUUUGCCAAGGAUGUUUUCAUU